Molecule: non-coding RNA, 148 nt
Organism: Homo sapiens (human)
Lineage: Eukaryota; Metazoa; Chordata; Mammalia; Primates; Hominidae
Rfam family: Metazoan signal recognition particle RNA
About the family: The signal recognition particle (SRP) is a universally conserved ribonucleoprotein.
Source: Rfam
GCCGGGAAUGGUGGUGCAUGCCUGUAGUCCCAGAUACUUGGGAGGCUGAGGUGGGAGGAUCACUUGAGCCUAGGAGGUCGGGGCUGCAGUGAGCCAAGAUCGCGCUGCUGUACUCCAGCCUGGGUGACAGAGUGAGACCCUGUCUCAA